Molecule: ribosomal RNA, 447 nt
Filed under: uncultured bacterium
Lineage: Bacteria
Description: bacterial SSU rRNA
Rfam family: Bacterial small subunit ribosomal RNA
Source: RNAcentral
UCGGGAAUUUUGGGCAAUGGGCGAAAGCCUGACCCAGCAACGCCGCGUGAAGGAUGAAGUAUUUCGGUAUGUAAACUUCGAAAGAAUAGGAAGAAUAAAUGACGGUACUAUUUAUAAGGUCCGGCUAACUACGUGCCAGCAGCCGCGGUAAUACGUAGGGACCAAGCGUUGUUCGGAUUUACUGGGCGUAAAGGGCGCGUAGGCGGCAAUUCAAGUCAUCUGUGAAAUCUCCGGGCUUAACUCGGAACGGUCAGAUGAUACUGCUUUGCUAGAGUGCAGAAGGGGCAAUCGGAAUUCUUGGUGUAGCGGUGAAAUGCGUAGAUAUCAAGAGGAACACCUGAGGUGAAGACGGGUUGCUGGGCUGACACUGACGCUGAGGCGCGAAAGCCAGGGGAGCAAACAGGAUUAGAUACCCUGGUAGUCCCUGAGCGGGCUGGCAAGGCGCAU